Molecule: ribosomal RNA, 398 nt
Filed under: Actinomycetota bacterium
Lineage: Bacteria; Bacillati; Actinomycetota
Description: bacterial SSU rRNA
Rfam family: Bacterial small subunit ribosomal RNA
Source: RNAcentral
UUGGAGAGUUUGAUCCUGGCUCAGGACGAACGCUGGCGGCGUGCUUAACACAUGCAAGUCGAACGAGGUCCACGGUGUAGCAAUACACUUGAAGACCUAGUGGCGAACGGGUGCGUAACACGUGAGGAACUUGUCCCGGUCUCUGGGAUAACAGUUGGAAACGACUGCUAAUACCGGAUGACGUCGGAGCAUCGCAUGGUGCGCUGACGAAAGGGUUACUGGAUCGGGAGAGCCUCGCGGCCUAUCAGCUUGUUGGUGGGGUAACGGCCCACCAAGGCAUCGACGGGUAGCUGGUCUGAGAGGAUGAUCAGCCACACUGGGACUGAGACACGGCCCAGACUCCUACGGGAGGCAGCAGUGGGGAAUCUUGCGCAAUGGGCGAAAGCCUGACGCAGCAA